UUACUAAGCCAUAACUGACGCUGAGGCACGAAAGCGUGGGGAGCGAACAGGAUUAGAUACCCUGGUAGUCCACGCUGUAAACGAUGUUCACUCGCUGUUUGCGAUACACAGUAAGCGGCUGAGCGAAAGCAUUAAGUGAACCACCUGGGGAGUACGAUCGCAAGGUUGAAACUCAAAGGAAUUGACGGGGGCCCGCACAAGCGGAGGAACAUGUGGUUUAAUUCGAUGAUACGCGAGGAACCUUACCUGGGCUUAAAUGUAGACUGCAUAGGGUGGAAACAUUCUUUCCCUUCGGGGCUGUUUACAAGGUGCUGCAUGGUUGUCGUCAGCUCGUGCCGUGAGGUGUCGGGUUAAGUCCCAUAACGAGCGCAACCCUUACCGUUAGUUGCCAACAGGUCAAGCUGGGGACUCUAGCGGGACUGCCACCGUAAGGUGAGAGGAAGGUGGGGAUGACGUCAAAUCAGCACGGCCCUUAUGUCCAGGGCUACACACGUGUUACAAUGGCCGGUACAGAGGGCAGCUACCACGCAAGUGGGUGCCAAUCCCGAAAGCCGGUCCCAGUUCGGAUUGGAGUCUGCAACCCGACUUCAUGAAGUUGGAUUCGCUAGUAAUCGCGCAUCAGCCAUGGCGCGGUGAAUACGUUCCCGGGCCUUGUACACACCGCCCGUCAAACCAUGGGAGCUGGGGGUGCCUGAAGUCUGUGACCGUUAAGGAGCGG
This 718-nucleotide ribosomal RNA is filed under the name uncultured organism. RNAcentral describes it as "bacterial SSU rRNA". It matches the Rfam family "Bacterial small subunit ribosomal RNA", at positions 726 to 1455 of the family's 1533-position model. The record is from RNAcentral.